Molecule: ribosomal RNA, 253 nt
Filed under: uncultured bacterium
Lineage: Bacteria
Description: partial 16S ribosomal RNA
Rfam family: Bacterial small subunit ribosomal RNA
Source: RNAcentral
UACGUAGGUGGCGAGCGUUGUCCGGAUUUACUGGGCGUGAAGGGAGCGUAGGCGGACUUUUAAGUGAGAUGUGAAAUACUCGGGCUCAACUUGAGUGCUGCAUUUCAAACUGGAAGUCUAGAGUGCAGGAGAGGAGAAUGGAAUUCCUAGUGUAGCGGUGAAAUGCGUAGAGAUUAGGAAGAACACCAGUGGCGAAGGCGAUUCUCUGGACUGUAACUGACGCUGAGGCUCGAAAGCGUGGGGAGCAAACAGG